This 450-nucleotide ribosomal RNA is filed under the name uncultured bacterium. RNAcentral's name for it is "bacterial SSU rRNA". It matches the Rfam family "Bacterial small subunit ribosomal RNA", at positions 29 to 524 of the family's 1533-position model. The record is from RNAcentral.
AGCGAACGCUGGGGGCAGGCCUAACACAUGCAAGUCGAACGAACUCUUCGGAGUUAGUGGCGGACGGGUGAGUAACACGUGGGAACGUGCCUUUAGGUUCGGAAUAACUCAGGGAAACUUGUGCUAAUACCGAAUGUGCCCUUCGGGGGAAAGAUUUAUCGCCUUUAGAGCGGCCCGCGUCUGAUUAGCUAGUUGGUGAGGUAAAGGCUCACCAAGGCGACGAUCAGUAGCUGGUCUGAGAGGAUGAUCAGCCACAUUGGGACUGAGACACGGCCCAAACUCCUACGGGAGGCAGCAGUGGGGAAUCUUGCGCAAUGGGCGAAAGCCUGACGCAGCCAUGCCGCGUGAAUGAUGAAGGUCUUAGGAUUGUAAAAUUCUUUCACCGGGGACGAUAAUGACGGUACCCGGAGAAGAAGCCCCGGCUAACUUCGUGCCAGCAGCCGCGGUAAU